ACUUAGCUUAAUAAUAAUAAUAAUUAAACCUGUAUAUUGCAAAUAUACACACAGGUAUUUAUAUGCAUACAUAUGUAUUGUUUAUCACUUUUUAAUUGAAAAGUAACUAUAAAUGUUCAUUGUAACACCAUGAAACCAUUGUGACUCAAAAACAUGAAAAUAGAAGCAGAAAAGUUAACAAAACACAAAAAUUGAGUCACUGCUAAAAUUUUUGAGCGUAACUUUUGUCACCUUUUCUUACAUAUCAGCAUUCGUCUAUUGUUAGACGGCGUAACUCUCUUGUGCUUACUUUUUGUGCAUAGCAACAAAAACGACAACAAAACAUUCGACAGUCCCAGUUGAGUAUAUAAUACAAACGUCUAUAAGGGGGCGGGAACCUUUUUGGCUGAGAGAGCCAUGAAAGCCAAAUGUGUAUUUCUGUGAGAGCCAUAUCAUAUUUUUUAACACUGAAUACAAUGAACGGCGUGCAUUUUUAAGUAAGACCAACAUUUUUAGAGUAUUAUAAAUCUCUUAUUCUGAAACUAACCCAUAAUAAAUAAAAUACUUCUUACCAUUAAAGGGGAACAUUAUCACCAGACCUAUGUAAGCGUCACUAUAUACCUUGAUGUUGCAGAAAAAAUACCAUAUGUUUUUAACCGAUUUCCGAACUCUAAAAGGGUGGAUUUGGCAAUUUAAACGCCUUUCAAUUGAUAGCCUGUUGAGCGAUGACCUUUCACCCGUGACAUCACAACAUGAAGCAAUCCGCCAUUUUCUCAAUCUUAUUACACGCACCAAGUCAAAUUAGCUCGGUUAUUUUCCGUUUUUUCGACUGUUUUCCCGUACCUUGGAGACAUCAUGCCUCGUCGGUGUGUUGUUGGAGGGUGUAACAACACGAACAGAGACGGAUUCAAGUUGCAACAGUGGCCAAAAGAUGUGAAAGUCCCUCGUUGGUUCUGCACACUGUACCGACGACAGCUAUGCUAUGACAGAGAUGGCAAGAAUGUGUGGAUAUCCUGCGACACUCAAAGCAGAUGCAUUUCCUUCGAUAAAGUCAACGAAAUCAGAAAGGUGAGUUUUGUUGAUGUUAUUGACUUAUGUGGAGUGAGCUAAUCAGACAUAUUUGGUCACGGCAUGACUGCAAGCUAAUCGAUGCUAACAUGCUAUUUAGGCUAGCCGUAUGUACAUAUUUCAUACAUCUUAUGCCUCAUUUGUAGCUACAUUUGCAUCCAGCCUUUCCCUCCACCCAUUUUUAAUGCCAAACGAACACAUACCAAUCGUUGGUUAGAAGGCGAUCGCCGAAUUCGUCCGCGCUUCCUCCCGUGCCGCUGUCUGUCGUGAUAUGGCUCAAUAGCUUAAGUUUCUUCUUCAAUUUCAUUGUCGGUACCUGGCUCCACACUCCAACCAUCCGUUUCAAUACAUGCGUAAUCUUUUGAAUCGCUUGCGCUGCUGAAAUCCGAGUCUGAAUCCCAGCUACUAUGCUAUACCUUUCUGUGCUAUCCGCCAUGUUUGUUUUUGGUGGCUUCACACAGUGACGUCACAGGACAAUAGACGGGUGGAUAUGUGGGCCUACCGAGGAUGUCGUAGUGGUUUGCGCAGCCCUUUGAGACACUAGUGAUUUAGGGCUAUAUAAGUAAACAUUGAUUGAUUGAUUUAUAUAACAACGGUUAAGAUCAGGCACUUUGAAGCCGUUUUUCGGGAUAUUGCGUGAUGGGUAAAAUUUAGAGAAAAACUUCGAAAAAUAAAAUAAGCCACUGGGAACUGAUUUUUAUUGGUUUUAACCCUUCAGAAAUUGUGAUAAUUUUCCCCUUUAAUGAAAACUUCUUGAACAGGUGAAAACAGAUGGAUGGAUUAAAUGCAUGAGAAUGUUUUAUAUUUUGAACGUUAUUUUUAACACUGUGAUUACCAGCGGAAUUAUUCAUUACUUAUCGUGUUAAGCAAUGUCAGCUAAGACUUAUCCGAGAGCCAGAUGCAGUCCUCACAUCUGGCUCGCGAGCCAUAGGUUCCCUACCCCUGGUCUAUAUACUCGGUGGUAUACAAAGUGAUGCAAACUGAGUUGUCCUUUUUUUAUUUAGGAAUCACACAAGCUAUGACAUCAACAUGCACCCACGCACGCACGCACGCACGCACGCACGCACGCACGCGCACACACACACACACACACACACACACACACACACACACACACACACACACACACACACACACACACACACACACACACAGAGUAUUCAAACCAGCGGCUAUCAGUUGGGUCUAACAAGUUUUGCGUUCAGGUCGUACUUCUCGCAAAACUCGUCGGUGAUGGGGAUGCAGGUGAGGUACUCGCACCAAUCGCACUUCACAGGGUAAACAUAGAAGAGGACGGCCAAGGCGAAGACUAGACCGAGGAAUACCAGCAGGAACACGCAGAUCUGAACCCUCUUGCGGUACAUAUCUAAACGUCCGAAGCUGAAAAGACAACAAAAAAAGAGGUAACCAUCCAGGGGUUAGGUACCGGAGUACGUGCGGCCUAAAUGCAGUAAGUUGCGUGUGUACGUGAUUAAUGCGAUCAGUUUUGACUUAAUCGUUUUACGUUUCAGUGUUGCUCGUUGUGUUGGUUCUGACCCCAGGCUACAGAGACAGCGGCCAAAUUGCAGGAGAAAUGUGUUUAGUGACACAACAAAAAUAGUGCAGCAGGGUAGUGCACAGGAAGCAUAAGGAAAGCUAUGCAGCAUGGACGUACAAAAAAAAAAGCACAAGGAUCCAGCCCUGUCCAUAAAAAUCAUCCUGAUUGGCAGACAGGGACAGGUGAGGGAGCCAGCAGUCGGACAGAAGUAGGCAAAAAGGGAAUUGAAACAAGAGUGCUGAACAGUAAAAAAACAAAAAGUGAUGUACUGUGUAGCAUUGUAUUGUGAUUGCUCCUCUCAGGUUAUUAAUGAUAAUCGACACAGUUCAUUAAAAUCGAACAGUGAAACCUCAACUUAGGAUUCCCCCAACUUUAGAGUGUUUUGAGAUAAGAGCUGUCCCUCACGUAAAUUUUAGGCUUUAAGUUGCAAGCAAAAAUGUGAGAUACAAGCAUCCCCGCCAUAGAGUUGCGUAGCAAAUGUAACAGUGAACCCCCUGAAAUUUGCCCAAAACAUCUUAUCUUACUUGCUAGCAUUAGCUGAUAGAUUUACAAAUCGAGAUAACUUUGUAUUUUCAAGAAAGGUAAGGACAAUGCUAAGAGGAAGAAGUGGAUGAUAUUUAUUAAAUCAAAGAAAGAGAUAAUCAGAAACAUGAUCGUGUAUGUUGCCAUUGUGACAGAGUAAUUUGAGCGUAUCUCUGCUAGUCUGCACCAUACUGAAACAGAAUGAGUGUAAUGCCAGCCAUGACUGUUGAAAUAUUAUCUAAACGUCAAACAUUUGUCAAUGAAAACAAGGCAAAAGCUGCUGAUGGUGUGUUUGACGCAGAAGCAGCUGGAAGGAGAUACCGUAGAAGUGCACUCUCCCAGGUAAAAUACAGUACAUUAAUUUUACAUUACUUCAAAAAACUGUUGCAGUUGUUAGUAGCACAUUAUAUUGUAUUGUUUUAAUAUUAACUUUCUUAUUUUAAAGUUUGUUUUUCGAUUGAAAAGACAUUAAACAUGUUUAAAUUGUGCUGUUAGGUGCCCAAUCACGAAACCAAUCAAGUUUGUAAAUAGAGAUACUACAAUAUAUAGGAAUACUGAAAAUAAUCCAAAAUUCCAACCCUUCGCAUAUUUUGUCGUGUACUUAUGUAAUCGGGACAUCAUUUGAUUAAAGCGAUCGCUUCUCUCCUAAUUAAUGACAGUCACACCCUUGCACAAAUAAAACUAUUAAAAUGACUUAAAACAGGCAAGUCAAAAUCAGAGAAAUUGCCGUAAUACAGCGGAAUUUAAGUGAUGGAAUAACAUGUUCUUUUAUAGCAGGUGAGUAGAACUGUAACACUGAAUGUAGCAAAGCCUUUGCGAUUGUAUAACAGAGAUGUUUUUAAUCACGGUUAAUAGUAAAACAGGUAAAUCAUUGCAACUUAAGUCCCAGUGUAAGUGUACCCUUAGAUAUACAGUGGACCCUCGAUUUAUUAAGCCUUAUUUUGCAAACUUUUUGAUUUACAAACAAUUAGAUCGGGCCAAAUGUGCUUCCGUGUGCGAACCAAAGCUUCAUUCACUAAUUUUGUGUCCUGCAAAUUUUUAAUUGUGAUGAGACCGGACUUUUCUGGAAAAAGAUGCCAAAGCGAGCUUAUAGUACAGCAAAGGAGAGGACACUACCUCUUGUUAGGUGGCGUCUUUUUCAAUAACCCACACACACACACACACAGACACACACACACGCACGCACGCACACACACACACCGCCCUUCUUCCCCCGUCUGCUCUUUUCUCUCCUCUCCUCAGCUGCUCAUUUGCCAAUGACAAUGUAAAUUGGAUUUUAUUUUUUGCAAAUUUGUAUUAUUGUAGCAAUACGGUUAUUAAACUUAAGGAUUUGUGUGAUUUCUGAUCAUUUGUAAAGGCAACAAAGGGACUUCUGUGUAUUUGCGCGUGUUGGCACAGCAGCGCAUACAGAGGACAGUUCAGCUUGCUGUUGGUGUUGUUUUAGCUUGUUAAUAAUGAGAGAGUUGAUCCAUUCCUCCCUUGUUAUGUUUGUUAGAUAUACAGUAAUGUUUAGCACCUUAUUUUGUGAUUAAAGCAUACAAACCUUCACCAAAAUAUGGACUUUUGUCAAGGCUUGACCACAUUAUUCAUUUAGACCUUGUUUCUUAUAGAGAACUUAGCGUCAAUAUACAAACUUUUCUAUUUACGAACCCUGUUCCAAAAGCAAAUGAUGUUUGUAAAUCGAGAUUGAACAGUAUAUAAACAUGUACAAAAUAAUACAAUGCUAGUGGCUGAUUGACCUACCUGAUAUACGGCAGGAAGGCAAAGGACAGGAAAAAUCCUGAGACAAAACCACCGAUGUGGGCAAAGUUGUCGAUCCAGGGCAGCAAGCCGAAAGAGAAGAAGAACGCUGAAAUGGCAAACAGCUUGGCAAACGCCCACCAUGGACGCUCAAGGAUCUGCCAGCUCUGAAA
Long non-coding RNA from Nerophis ophidion (straightnose pipefish), 5019 nucleotides. RefSeq lists it as uncharacterized. The record is from RefSeq and is a predicted model, not a curated record. The transcript is spliced from 2 exons. Lineage: Eukaryota; Metazoa; Chordata; Actinopteri; Syngnathiformes; Syngnathidae.